GAUGAACGCUAGCGGCAGGCUUAAUACAUGCAAGUCGAGGGGCAGCACGGGUAGCAAUACCUGGUGGCGACCGGCAAACGGGUGCGGAACACGUACGCAACCUUCCCAUAACUGGUGAAUAGCCUUCCGAAAGGGAGAUUAAUACACCGUAACAUAACGAGUAGGCAUCUACUUGUUAUUAUAGGCUUCGGCCGGUUUUGGAUGGGCAUGCGCCUGAUUAGGUAGUUGGCGGGGUAACGGCCCACCAAGCCUGCGAUCAGUAACUGGUGUGAGAGCACGACCAGUCACACGGGCACUGAGACACGGGCCCGACUCCUACGGGAGGCAGCAGUAAGGAAUAUUGGUCAAUGGACGAAAGUCUGAACCAGCCAUGCCGCGUGAAGGAUUAAGGCCCUCUGGGUUGUAAACUUCUUUUAUCUGGGACGAAAAAAGGGCUUUCUAGCUCACUUGACGGUACCAGAGGAAUAAGCACCGGCUAACUCCGUGCCAGCAGCCGCGGUAAU
This 503-nucleotide ribosomal RNA is filed under the name uncultured bacterium. RNAcentral describes it as "bacterial SSU rRNA". It matches the Rfam family "Bacterial small subunit ribosomal RNA", at positions 28 to 524 of the family's 1533-position model. The record is from RNAcentral.